Long non-coding RNA from Chiroxiphia lanceolata (lance-tailed manakin), 1605 nucleotides. RefSeq lists it as uncharacterized. Lineage: Eukaryota; Metazoa; Chordata; Aves; Passeriformes; Pipridae. The transcript has 2 exons. The record is from RefSeq and is a predicted model, not a curated record.
UAUUCCUUAGAAGAGCACUUCAGAAGAAGGCUCCUUGGAAGACAACUUCAUUGUUUUUUCUUCUACUGUGACCCCAGGUGCUUCAGCAUGCUCUUACACAGUGGUUACAUGGGAAAAGCCACCAAGCCAGACCUGCUGAGCUGACCCACUAAGGGAUGAGAAGGAUGAAGCCUGUGAUGGUGUUGUCAACUGUCUUGGGAUUACUCUGUCUGGUCAACAGACUAGCUAAACAACUGAAGACACUGCUGAUGAUGUCCUGUAAUCCUGAACCAGGUGUCAACAAAUGUCCUUUUUGAAGUGGGUAAUGGGGUCACACUGAAAAAGUGCUUUAGUCAAAUUUUAUGUUGUUGGGUUUCAGUAACUUGAACAGGAGGAGUGGGAGGAUGUGUGGUCUCUGUGGGCAGCUUGCUGUCUGUGGGAAUGAAGCAAAGCAGAUGCAACCCUUGUUUGGAGCUGAUCACAUUUCCUGGCAUGCUGAGAUAUUUGAAUUGUAGAUUUGUGGCUCUUCCUAGUUUGUUGGGGUUUGUUGUUUUUUUUUUUUUAAUUGAAGCAUCAAUUAUAAGGAGGCUUUUUUUACUUUUUUUAUAUAAACUAUAUAACAGCCAUGAAUUAUACCAGAGAAAAAUGGGAAUAAUUCCUCUGCUUCCAAACAUCAGUGAAAAUUACAGUUAGUAACUUGGGGUACCUUGUGCAGAUUUCCUCGCCUGACAAGGUUGUGCAUGAGUGAAUUUUACUUGUUUCCAAUGAUUAAGUGUUCCAGCAGGUGUUGAUAGCUAUGGCCUUGGUUCCCACAAACUAAAUGUCUUCAAGACAUCUAGGAGCAAUGAGAGUAUCUCAGCAAAGGUAAAAGGGAAUGUAAUUAAUUGUCUCUCAGUGUUCAUGGGCAUUCUCUCAAAAUAAAUGGUUCUAUUUGGCAAUCAGCACUUUCUCUCAGCUUGACAUCUGGUUGCCAGAUAUCAAGACUAGCUGUCCUUUUCAACACCAAAGAAGAGUCCUAACCCUCACAAUGACUGUACCAAUAAACCCCUAUCCCUGAAAGCUGGGUGCAAUCCUGUGUAUUACCUGAUCCCUGAGAGAAAACUCACCCAGCCAGUGUAAAAUCCUGGUUUACUGCCUUCACAGUGAAAAAACCUCUGAGACCACUUUUAGUUCAUUUAGGGCCUUUAGGUGUCCUCUAGAGAACAGGACGGGCUGAGCCCCUAGGACACACUGCUUAGCAGGUCUACAGGAACAUUUUGAAGAUCUUCUGCAUCAUUUCUUGGGAGUGUAAAGAGAGUGACCCUUGAGUAAGACACCGGUCCUCAACAUACUUGUGCCACAUAUAUGCCUUGGGGCACAAGAAUGAACUUGUGAAUGGAGAAUAUCCAAGAAGAUGAAAGCAAUUUGGUAAGGGAAUUCAGCAUUUCAGUUAGUGUUGACUAGAAUUGCUUGGCUGCAGCAGGGACUUCAGUCUUAACUUGCCUGGGGAUGAAAAUGGGAUUCUUUUUCACAGAAGCCUGGAGUCAGAAAGAACCUAUAGGUUUGCUGUUGACAAAGAGCUCUCCUAUCUGAAGAAUAUACUAAAACUAUCCCAGAGGAAAGAACUUCUGAUAAGAGUAGCAACAU